Molecule: RNA transcript, 15813 nt
Organism: Passer domesticus (house sparrow)
Lineage: Eukaryota; Metazoa; Chordata; Aves; Passeriformes; Passeridae
Exons: 6
Source: RefSeq, a predicted model, not a curated record
UACUUUGUUCUCUUCUGAAGAGCACUUCCCUUUUUUAAUAACUACAAUAUAAAAAUAAUGAGCUAAACAGGGCACAAGUGGUGACUGAUGAGUUCAUGCCGACAGCAUGCUUCUUGGGAUGGCUUUGGUCCAUGCAGCCCAUACUUCUCAGUCAGUGCCCAGACACAAGCCAGAAACUGUUCCCAGGAGACAUCAUGGAGACUUGUUUUAGGAGACAAGGAAAAUACUGCCACAUGGACACAAGCUGGGCAGUGCCACUGGCCUUUAGAGUCAGAGGACAGGCACUAAACCUGUUCAGUGUAAUACAGAUGUAACUGUGAUCAGGUAACUAGAAGAGAAACCAACAGGAAUUUCAGCUUCAUUAAGGACUUAGCUGUCCUGUGUAAUGAUCCUGGUCCUCUGCAGAAUCUGCUAGAAGGGUCUCAAGCUGGUAGAACAUGUAGGGUGCAUGGAGCUGCUUGCUCAGAUUCUUUAUAGAGUAUAUAGUGAUUUAAGUUAAAAAAUACAGAUUUCAGCAGCACCAGAUAUAUCUGAGGAGUCUUUAUUAAAAAAAUGUGUGUUUCUUCUAGGCUGUGAAAUGUAAACUACAAGGUGAAGGGAGAAAUAAGAUGGAUGUAAUUUGUGUUUUCUUCUCCUACUACAAGUCUGUAACCUCUGGCAGUGAGUGUCAUGUCAGCUGGGCACUUUCAUGCCUCAGACAUUACUGCUAAGCCUUCCAGCAUUUCUCUGUGAGUGACCAAUUGGAAGGAGAAAGGAGAUGUCAGGAACCUAUCUCCUUCAGCAUGUCACUUCAGCUGUUCAGCCACUAAACUUAGGGAUUUAGCUGUAAAACAACAAAAUAAAUUCCAGCUUCCCUUCCUGUCCCUCCCCAAGCCCCCUGGGUUCUCCCUAAAUAAUGUCUGUGGUCACCCAUUUAGGUUAUUUGCAAAGUUUCCACUUACCGCAGUAAUUUCGUAGGAAUGACUGUGUUCCUUCAGUGCUUUGUGAUAAUAAGAAUAGAAAUAGGGAAUGGAAAAAAAGAGCAGAGGAGAGCAGAGGCCUCACCUAGAGCUGCCCUUUUUACUAAGCAGCCUGAGCAGAGUGUCAGGGAAAAGCCAGGCAGUACUUCAUCCUGAGCUAUCACAUCACUUAAGACUGAAAGCAAUUACUGACAUUUUCACAGGGCUAAGACCACAUUUAGGGUUGAAUAUGUUUGUUCAGGCAUAAAGUCUGCCCAUGCAGUUAAAUUCAAGACAUUUAGUUAGUCUGAUUCGUGGGUUGUCACAUUUGAAAACAGUAAAGUCCAGUUGAACUGGGAAACAGAACAUGAGGACCUGUGUGCACCUUUAAAACUGCCUUCCUUAAAAACAAGAUGAUGAAUGCAAGCUCUCACUUGUAAAAUAGUUGUGCCUUAAAAUCCCUGAGGUUUUGCUCCUCGCUCCUCCUGUUAGGCUGUAUGAAUACCUGGGGACUUUAAAUCACAGAAUUUCCCUGGAUAAGUGUAUUGAUGACCUGAGGCUUCAUCAGAGCACUAUCCUUAUACCCUGCAGCAGCUGUCUGUAGAAGACCAGGUGGGUCAUGCAGUUGACAAGCCUUAAAAAUCAAGUAACAACCUCACCUGCUACAUACUUAAGAUAGGUCUUUUUUAAGGCAGGAAAAAUACAAAUGUUAAAGAAAAAGUAAUACGCAUGAAGUAUUGUGUGCAGUUUGGGGCACUACAAUAUAAAGAAGCUGUUCCAGAGCAUCCAGAAAAGAGCUGUGAUGAUGGUGAAGGGCCUUGAGGGCCAUGAGCAGCUGAGGACACUUGGUCUGUUCAGCCUGGAGAAAAGGAGGCUGAGGGGAGACCUCAUUUCAGUUUAGAGCUUCACUGUGAGGGGAAGAGAAGGAAUGGACACUGAUCUGUUCUCUGUGGUUACCAGGGACAGGACCCAAAGAAUGGCCUGAAGCUGUGCCAGGGGCAGUUUAGAUUGGAUAUUAGAAAAAGAUUCUUCACCCAGAGGGUGUUUGGGCAGUGGAACAGGCUCCCCAGGGAAGUGGUCACAGCACCAAGCCUGGCAGAAUUCAAGAAGUGUUUGGACAAUGCUGUCAGGCACCUGGUGUGACUCUUGAGGAUGGUUCUGUGCAGGGCCAGGAAUUUGGCUUGAUGAUCCCUAUGAAUCCCUUCCAACUGAGGAUACUCUGUGACUCCAUUGACACAAUAGUGAAGGAGAGCUUCCAGCACAAAGUUGGAUGUGUGUGGAAUCAGGAUGUAUCAGUCCAGAUUUGCACAGAUAAUGUGCUGAAUUCAUAUACACCUUUUUCUUGGAGUUUCAAAUGGGUGAAGGUGCCUCUUGGAUUUAGGUAUUAAAUCUGAAGUGGUACCAGGGUGCUUAAAAGCCGUAAUUAGAAGUACCGAUUUACUGUUAAGGCACAAAGAGAAGAGCUCAGAGAUUCUGAGUAAUAAUUCUAUGACUCAAAGAAAUGGCAGUGUGUGGUCCCAGCUCCAUAGCUGUCCAGCAUUUCAGCGAGAGUGGUGUAAUGCCACAUCCCUGGGAGUGUUCUAGGCCAGUUUGGAUGGGAUGUUGAGCAACCUGGUCUACUGGAAGGUGUCCAUGCACAGCAGUGGGGUUGGAAUUAAAUAGUCUUUGAGGUCCCUUCUAUGAUUCUUGAACAAUUCCAGUCACUGUGCUGUAAAUUGGAUUUAAAGGUACUAGGCUUUUAUCAGCAUGGGGAAGGAAAAGCACCCUGAAAUAUUUGUUGAUACUACUCUUUAUCUUAAAAGCAGGGCCAUCCUUGGCUUGACCCAAAAAAACUUUCAGUGCUUCAGAAAUGAGUUGUCACUGAUUUUGCACUGCUCUUAAGUGGAAUGUUUUCUGUGCCUGGCUUUCUAAGUGUCAAAAACCUCCAGCCUAAAGUCUACAGCCACAUAACUCUCUGUUCCCCUUUUUAUUUCAGUCUUUUCUCAGAACCUCAGAGUACUGAAAUAGGGUUCAAUUUCCCCAAGCAGUUCUAGUAAUCAAAUAUGAAAACAGUAGAAAAAUCUGUCUAUGAAGUUAAAGAAUAUCUUACAGAAAAUUCAAGUGGAUUUUUGAAUAGCAUAGUUUUGAAGCUAAUCAGUAGCUAGAAAUGCGCUUCAUCUUUGUAACUUCACAUGAAAACUACUUCUAAAAGAAAACACCCCUGUUUCUCCUUUUUCUUAAUUCCUGGGGUAAUUGCAACAGCUUGUGUUUUGUGUAGUGAAAUUAGUGUAUUAGGCACUGAAUUGAAAUAAACUAAAUGAUACUUGUGCUUUGUUUUUCUUGUUUAUUUGCUGACUUCUUUCAGACAUGAGUCAAUUCCUUCUGUCCUUUACAGAAAUAACACUCCUUUACAUUGUGGGGCCAAGCCACCAGCCCCUUGGAGCAGCCCACAUUUUUGGCAGUAGCAACCUCUCCCAUCGCUCUUUUAAAAGGCCAGUGGACUAAACUUGUUAAACUUUUUCUGUGGAGUCUCAUGACAUGUGAAAGGGAGUGGCAAGGACAUGAGGCCUGAACAUGGUGAAGGGAAAAAGUACAGUGCACUUCGUAGUCAACAUAUAUAGAAAAUGGCUAAAGAUGGUACAGAAUGGCUGAAGAAAGAAAAACCUAACCAACAGAAAACUAUUUUAAGACCUUUUCAGCAAAAGCACUCGUGUGCCUACUUUACAAUGCCGGCUUUUGUGACAGUGCUUUACGGAGUUUGUCAGCCAGAGCCUUAAAAAAUCCUGGCUUCUACCCUACUCACUGACAUUGCCAGCUAAGCCAAAGAUUUCACUGUCUUUCCCUUCUUCACCUGCACUCCCUUGGAAAGUUCCUCCUCUCUCUUCCCUUUACUCCACACAUCAUGCUUGUUUGCUGUCCACUACCUCUUAGCCCCUUACCCUUCUGAGUCUGACCAUAUCUCUCAGAUACUUUUAAAAUAUUUUAGAAACUACUGCGUUAAAAUGCCUUCAGUUUUGAAGCCUCUCUUCCUACAUUUCCCUCAACUGUACAUUGGCAGAUCAAAGGAGAAAUUGUUGCCAGUUUAAAACGUCUCCUCUGCAUCUAAGCACAGCUCUUGAUGAGCACAGACUGUCCUAUCAUUUUUCUGUUCCUUCCUGUGGCUGCUGUCACUACAAGCCCAUUUUUCAAUUUUCUUCCUCAUCUUGUGCCAAAAACAGGAUCCAGCUAUUAAGGUAUAAUGAAGUGCAUUAGGACUCAGAAGUUUAUCUUUACAGCAGGCCAACAAGCACCAGCCUUUCAAAAAGCAGGGCCAACAAAAGGGUGCCUCCUGCUCCUCCUAAGCAAACUGAGAAUUGUAAAUUGUACAUUUGAAUAUGUGAAUUACAUUCAUAUGAAUGGUAUGAAUAAUGAAGAGAAGUGCUCUCAGAGUAAUAAUUGUGAUUAUCUGAACAAACAAGAUAGGCACCUUGGACAUGUAGCCCUAGCCCUCUUUAUCUGCAUCACCACUUUCUCCCUAACACCAUACAUUGCCUCCCAUCUAGAUUUAAUUCAACACCUUGAAUUGUGUUUGAUCAGGGACAGAUCAAAGAAGUUGCCACCAGACAUCUUUGACAGAUUUUAGAAAGACCUAGUUUUUUAUUUAGAAACAGAAACUUAAAAUGUCUGGUGGCUUGUCCUCAGGGAGAGUAGUUUGCUCAGUUUAAAACACAAAAUUCUCUGCUUGCUGGAACCUGCCAGGCCAGGAUUCUGUUAUCCUCAGAAAUGGUUUACAUGCAUGCUGGCCUUUGCUGUGCUGAACAAGUAACUGGAACACUUUCAGUUCUAGUGUUUCAACACAAUGGUUUUGUCUCAUGUUCAGGAUGAAAACUGAAGAAAAAAAAAAAGACCCCCACCCCUCAGUGAAAUAUGUAGAAAUGCUCUCAUGUGGAAAGUUUCAUUUUGAAAUCUUCCAAUUCAAACUAGUUCAUUUUGGCUUUGUUUCACAUGGAGAUGUAUCCUUACAGGUGGUUUUACUGCUUUUCAGUCCUUGGGAUCUAUAUCCACUCAACACUGUCACAGUUCUCCUUAUGCUCCACUCCAGCCAGAAAAUAGAAUGCAGUGAGGGGAAAAAACCCCACCUUGAUAAGAACCACCAUACCAAACUUGUUUCUUGUAUGUUCCAACGAGACAUGUUUGAAUUAAGUUGACAGAGUCAUUGAUCAAAUAGUUCAUUCUUCUAGGAAAAAAAGAAGUCAACUUCUUCUCAGUUGCAUUUUCCUAUAAAAAUUUGUUUUGGUGCAAGUUUUAAAGCAGCUGUAAAAUGUGAUAUAUUUGACAAUUAUCCUCUUAUUUGUGGACCUUAAUGUAGACUAAAGAAACCCAGAUUCAACUCUUCAAAGUUUUGGUUAGGAAAGAAUGUGUUCUGAUGUUUACUGAACAGUACUACUAUAAAUUGGAUUAAUCUCUACCAUAUUUUUCCUAGACGGAAAUGUCACUUCCAACUUGAUUCUCCCCCAGUGUUGAUAAUCCCCUCUAGUCAGUGAGUACUGCCUGCAGUACAACCAAAAGAGCUCUGUUGUGAAAGAACAAAAUCAGCUUGGCCACAAAUUGUCAGGUCAGAAUAAAAAUAUAGUCCCAGAAGAAGGGCUGAGGUUGAAGGACACCAUUCAGAAGACGCAAGAAGCCAAAUUAGUCAAAAAUAGACCAAAUGGCAGGGAAAUACUGGGUGAAAUUGAAGCAGAAGUCCUCAAUGCUGUGGCUUUCACUACAUAAAAUCUGCAUUUUCAUUUUGUGUCACAAGUCAUUGGAAAUGUCAGUUCUUGUUCAGAGAACCUCACUGACUGUACCUCAGUUGGAGGUAUCGCUUUUCUAGUUUGAUUUGUCUUUGCCUGUGCCUUAAGACAGCUGCUUUGAAUUUCCCAGUGACACCUGCAGUUAAGAUCCCUACAAUGAGAAUUCAAAAAUCCUUCCCAUCUGUCCGUCUGAAGAGCUGUGGUAGUGAAGUGUUUCCUCUGAAGUCCACGUGCAUCCUUCUCCCCCAUAGCCUUUGUGCCUGUGCUCUGACACAGUGUUUGAAGUCAGCAAGUGAACAAUACACACUGCAGAGCCUCCUUUCUGGACUGAGGGAUUGCUGUUACCUGCACACUCUCCCCUUCCCCCUGAUGAAACCUGGAGUAACAAGGAGGAGUCAUGGACUCGAGCUCUGUCCAGUUUCCACUUUGGAAUCUAAUCUAAUUACACUAGAUUUGUCUGUAUCCCCUCUGCAGAUUUAACUAGACACAGUGCACAAUUCACUUCCUGCUAGAGCUUGCCAUGUAGUUUCUUGGGUGAUUGAGAUACAGUUCAGCAAGAAGAUAGUGGAUAACUUUGUGUAUCUGUUGAAAAAUAAACAGCAUCUGAACAGACUGAGAAUAGUCUUGAGCCUUUAGUCUAUGAAAAAAGAAAAGCCCUUACAUCUGCUCCUGAAACCUGAUUCCUGGUGAAACAUGCACCCCACACUCUGGAUCACACCUUAAGAUCAGAGGAGGAAAACAUCAAAACCCAAGUCAGACCUCUGCAGCUAAUGGUUCACAACUUGGGGCUCCUGGUGGCAGGAGGCUGCUCAGGAAGUUCUGACACCCCAGGAAAUUCAAGCUGCCAGGAUGGCUUGAGAGACAGAGCCCUUCUGCUUUGUACUGGUAACACAGAGCAGGCUAAGCAGAGAACCCCAGAGCCCACAUCUCAGGAACAAAAGCAGAAAGUUACCCCUAACCCAUCUGCCUCUCCUCAAGCACAUCACCACAUCAGACAAAGAGCACAUUUGCACACACAUUUCAUCAGUGCUUUGCAAAUUCUGGGUCCAGCUCCACCAUCUGUCCACAUCUUCUUGUUCAUGCUUGAACUAGCAGACUGACUGCUCAACACAUCUCUCAGCAGCCCACUGAGAUAACUGUUACCACUGUUAUUUCAGUAGCCAUACACAUAAAACACCAUUUCCCUCUUAAUGCCUAGGAAAUAAGAACACCACUACACAGAAGGAAAAAAAAAAAGCACCAAAAAAAACCAAAUUAAAAAACUCCAAAUCAGAGUCAGGCAGGCUUUCUUUCUCUUUCUCUCUGGUGAAUCAUAAGAAACCUGAAUCACCAAGACAAACAAUAUAUUCCUCUCUCAAACUAGAAGCUUUUGAAGUCUUUGAGGCUGGGCCAUGCAGCCUUUUGAGUCAAUUCAUGUCAGCUGUGCCCAUCCACACCCCCCAGGAGGGCAGCUGCCCUUUGGAGGUCUCAAAGAGCCUCCCCAGUCUGUGAUGCAUCCCCAGCAUAUAACGCUCUCCAACACUUGGUAGCCAUUUGUUGGCUUGCUGAUGCUAAUGCUCUGUGAACUCUUAUCAGAUGUAUUUAUUACCACAGUUGUUAAUGUUUUGAGAAGGCACUGACUGGCUUGAGUUCAAAGAAGAACCACAAGAACAGAAAAUAAGCCCUGAAGGUGCUUCUUUCAGGAGUCUGACUAAUGCACCUUACUAAAGAGAAGGUUGAAAAUGCAAUGUGAUGCUUUGUUCAGUGCUUGUUAGCACAAAACUCACUGUGAAGGAAAACAAAAUGAAAUCACUUGUUGCUCUUCUGGAAUCCCAAAUAACUCUCUUCCCAAGGAAGGGCAUAGUGAGGACAGCAUGGGUCUGGUACUCUGGAGGACAUGAAGCCACAGAGAAUACAAGCUUGAUUUUUCUAGAAGAUGUGUUGCUUCAUAGAAGAUUAAUGUAGGUCAGGAUGAAAAUUACAGUUUAGGUGCUCUCCUAGUUCCUUUCUGUGGCUCUUUUUUCCCCUGAGCUCUUGGGUGCUUAUUUGUAGGUGCUUGUCAGAAAUUCAGUGAUCAAGGGAAAGAAGAAUUUUUCCAUCAUGUUCUAUGUUUCUUUUUAAAUCAACGUGUUUAAUUAACAAUAUUCAUGCUACAAGCUUCUUAAAUAUUUUGUGGAGUUUGGUAGUUUUUGACACUCCUUAUCACAUUCAUAAGUAUAGAACACAUACAUGCAGUUGCUUACUUCAGGCUAUCCAGGCCAUUCCUUUAAUGUUUCUUUUAGAGAAGAAUGAAGACAGGAUUUUCUUGCCAUCCAGGGCCAGUGUGUUUCAUACACUCAAAAGGGUUUACCACAGCUAAAAAUAAUAUUACUUAAAACCAGUGAGAAGGAGAGAAAAUGUGCACAGGGCUUCAGGUGUUCUUGCCUGGUGUCAGCCCUGCUAGGGAGAGGCUGCUCUGGGGUGUGGGAGCUGCCCUACCCCUGCAGAGGGAUGGGGCCAGCCCGGGCUGGGCAGCUCUGCUUUGUCUCCUGCUUCCCACCAGAGAAGGCAGCCCCAGCUUGUCCUUGGGAGAAGGAGCAUCUUCCCUAUGGACUCUCCAGCUGACUCUGCUCUAUUCUGACAUUUCCACCUAUUCUGCUCAACUAUUCAGCUCAGGGAAUGCUUUAGCCCUGCCACCAAGUCUGUUCUGCAGGGACAGGGAAAGCAGGGGUCCCAGGAGAGGAUGGUAGAAGGGAGGCAAGGGGAUGAACAGAAAAAAGAGGUGGGCUUUUUUCAGAAGUUGAAAAAAGAGAAAGAAUCAAGGGGCUGCCAGUCACAGGUUUGUUUCUUUAUUUUUUCUGCUUAGCCUUGCAAUGAAGAGCAUACUUAAGCUUUCUUCUCUGUAGAUUGAGUUCUUUUAUUGUAUAAAAUUGUAACUGCAACUUAUGCAAAAAUAAAAUGAAGACAUUAGAAGGACCUUUCCAUUUGCUACAUUUUUACUGGGAGUCAUGCCUUAAGUUUUAGCUUUCAUGUUUUUCAGAUCCUGUACUGCAUUAGUAUGUAACGCUAAACUUCAUAGAAAGUGUUGGCAAGUUCUCUUCACAGUUUAGUGAGACAAAGCAAUCCUUUUCCAGCCUGAGAACCAAGGACACCGUUGCAGCUUCAGGCCCAAGGAGAAUUGUCAAGAGCAAUCUAGGAAGAUAGGACUUCAUAACUGAAGCUGAAAUUAGACAAUUAACCCCAAUAUAUAAAUGGACCAAAACUUAUAAAAGUGUGAAAACUCACAUCUCAAGUCCAUCUUGGGUGGAGCCAUGGCCAGGCUCUUGUAUUGUCCAAGGUCCUCUGUUCUAGGCAGCCUCUUUAGGCAUCAGGAGCUGAAUCAAGCCUAACUGAGUUUCAUAGGUCAAGAGGUCUGUGACCAGAAGGAAGGAACCAGCCUUUUCUAAGAGGAUGUCAUUUAAGUCUCCAAACAGAAAUCUCUGCCCUGCAGCACUGUAGAAAUCCUGGUCAGCCCUGGCUGAAAACUCAGGCUAAACUUGGUUCCUGAGUCACCACUUCACUGACUUCAUACCACAGGCACGACGGGAAGCAGCGGCGGUGAUGCUGAUAGACACCAGAGCUUAGAAGAGGGACAAAUAAUGAGAAGCAAAAAUAAUGUGCCAGUUUCUCCUCUGCGAUGGCUAGAAGAGGGUGCCCUGGGAAGGCCUGCUUUGUACACGGUGCUGCUUCUGCCAGUGACAAAAGAGCGAGGCUGCAGGAAUAAAUUUGUUCCCUCUUCUGAGGAAUCAGCCAUAGGAUUUCCCAUUCUGCUGGUCCAAGUCAGACAGCUCAAGAGUCCCUGCGGCUGUUCCAGCAGCAGCUCCACGGAGCAGUGCCGGAUCUGCUGCUCGGUGCUGGGACACGCCCGGCUGCCGGGACCGGGACAGGGACCGGGACCUCUUGUUGGGCAGCAGGGUGGGGUCUUUGGGCCAGAGCCGCUCCUGGCUCAGAGAACAGGCUUGUUCACGGAUUUCCUUUGCUGGAGAGGUGACCGAGUGCGCACGUCUGUGGUGGGGAGGUGCUGCUUGAAGGGAGGAAAAUGCGAGCACGAGAAGGGUGAUUAAACCACUCAUUAAGUUUAAUAGCCUUGCUAUUUAUAUUGGACUUGGCAUUGCAGCAGUAGGCAGGAACACAUUAGCCAAAGGAAAAUCUAAAUAUGACCUAACACAGCUGGAAGGGGAGUCAAGAAUUUGGACAGAAAUGGUAUUAGUUUAUACUUUUUUUUUCCCCCCAAGAAACUACUCCUUUUUUCAGGGAUGCCUCUCCAGCUUGCAAGCUUCAAGCAGUAGCUUCAUCAGCUUUACCAGGGCAGAGGCAUAUCCUGGCCAAACGAUCCUUUGCUAUAGGAUUGCUCCUUGCUGUGCACAGGGAGGCUGCAGGCAGGAGCAGGACAGGGGAAGGCUUGCUUGCAGAAUGCAUCAGGAGGAGCAGCAUGAGCCUGGAAGUGGGAAACCACAGUCACCAGCUAAAGGCUGAAAUUCAAAUUGACAGGGGCAAAACUUAGAAUUCAACAUCCUGUGUCUUAGCUCACAGUGUGUAAACAUCAGCCCUCUGAUGAAAGGCAAGGGAAUCAGCCCUGUUGUUCAUAACAAAGUCGAUGCAAAGGUUAUCACUGACUGACUCCAGCUGGUCCUUGGGUGAGGCACAGGCAUUCAAGGCUGUGAAAGAAUUGAGGUUCACAUAAACAACUAACAAAAGUUAUACACAAGGGAUUUAUUAUAUGAAUAAUUUGACAUACUCCAUGGUAGUCAGAUACAAGUGCAUUUAAUUAAUGUUUUGUGGACAUCAUAACAGUCGGAAUAUUUCAGCUGAACAGUCAGUAUUUGGCUGAAUUCAAGCCAGUGCAAUUCAUGACAUAACCAGAAACAGGGAGUUACAGGUCUACAAUGAGGUUAGACUAGAUAGCAACAGCAUAUUUAUUGUCACAUCAAAGCAUUACAAAGUAUGAAAGCCCAAUAUUUCAACUAUCUCUAAAAUGGUAUUUGUACAAAGCUGUUGUAGAUACUUAAAUGUAAGGAUUUGUCACAUCAGUAAUGGACCAUGACUUUAUUUUUGGAAGUUAUUUGAAUAUUCAAAACUAUUUGGGGCAACAAGAAGAAAUGUAAACAUCUGACAGUCCUUUGAAGGUCCCUUCUGAGAAAAUACAUUGUGUGCCUCAGGAAAAGUGCAUUCUAACUGGUGUAUCUGCUAUGGCCAGUUUGACUCACAUUCACUUAGCACCAGGUAUUUAUCCAUUUCUGCAGUAAAAAGUUAGAAAAUCUUUGUAUUAACUCAGAAAAGAGAAAACAAAGUCAAAAGUUUUUUUUUCUUCUUCUUUUUUAGAGGAACAACAGGUAAAUUAAAAAAACCCCACCCAACAUUUAAACAGUUACCUCUUAUGUACAAAGGAAGCAGGAGCUAGCAAAGCGCAUAGCCCCUGAACAGUCUUUAUUAUUUUUUUCUUCAGGUUCAUGUACCUGAAUAUAUGAGUCUAUUUACAGGUGGACAGGUAUCCACAGAAGUAAUAAUCGGAAUUUUUCUAUUUGGCUAAAAGUUGUAUAAAAAAAGACAAAACACUGUUCAAAUACUUUCCAAAUAUAUAUAUAUAUAUAUUAAAAGUAUUCAGUAUUUCCAUCAGUGCCAGAGUUGGAAGCUCUUCCUCGUUGUAAAAAGUUAACUUUGUGAUAGUAAGUGACAGCAAAGGACUGACAGGGUCAGUCAGAGCUUUGAUUUGAGGGACUGCAGCUGGAGCUACCCCAGGCCCACAUGCAGUUGCAGAUUGCAGGGAAAUGGAUCCACGUGUGUCUGUUGCAGUGACAGGCCACGUCCUGGCAAGGGUGACCUGCUGCUCCAGAGAGCCUCCCAUUCGUGCUGGACAAUCCUGUGGAACUCUCUGGGGCAGGUUCCCUUCGAAAACAUCCACCCAAAAACCUUUGAAGUAAUGGAAAUAUUCUUUAUGCAAAUGAGCAACUAGCAUGGGUGGGCAGGUAGCUCAAUAAAUGGAAAAAUGUAAUUGCCACACUAACUCUUGUAAAGAAUAUAAAAUUAAAGACUUGGCCCCUCAAAUACAAAUACAGACCGCAAAAAUAUUUUUAAUUAACAUAACCUAGAUGAGUGCAAAUCUCUGGAUACAUAAGAAUAUGACUGCCUUCAUACUGGUAUCAAAUAUUUAAACAGUUUGCAUAUAAACAAAAUCUUUCUUUGUUGUUGAGUCCAUGCUUGCUUUAGUCUAAAGCAAGGAUAUUAUUACUUCUACUUUUUUGGUCUUUCUUCCUGUAGGAUAAAGCAUAAGAAACACACUUCAUUGAGCAGACUGGGCUGAUGUAUAUUACAGAGACAACCCAACAUUUAAGUAAGAAAUGUUGCAUGCAGUAUCUUUUUCUCAUAUUUAAUUACACCAGCUACAAGAACAUGACAUCCAUUUUCCGUCUUUCCUGCUCCCUUCCAACAGAAGGUGCACUAAAGCCAGGCUCUGAUCCUUUGUCCCUUGCACACCCCAGCCCUGAAUUCCCCCAGUGAUUAGGAUGAAGGGCUGAGCUCUUUGGGCUCUGCACCACCUGGGGCAGGUCUCAGCAGUGAGACCAAACCCCUGAGGAGCCAUCCCUGCCUCCCACGUGCUGCAGGGCCCUGGGGAAGGGAUGCUCAGAAGGAACCCGGGCUGCUGGGAUGGCUGGAAAGGCUGUCCCAAGGAGGAGGAUGGCAUCUGCAAGCCCUGGGGCAGUGGCCUCCCUCUCCUUGGCACAGCUGGGCCCAGUGUGGCUUUAAACUCCUCCUGAGCCCGGGUGAGAGCAGCUGCUGGCCCCUCUCAGCCACCCCAGCGCCCAGGGGGCUGAGCAGAGUGCAAGAGGUGCUGGGCAGGAGAGCACUGGCAGAGGGAGCACAGACACCACCCCUCUGGCCAUGCCAGGUCCUCGACUUGGCCCCAGGCCCCCAGCCCCUCUGCUCCUUGUGCUGUGCAGCUCAGUAUUGCUCUGUCUGCAUCUAAGGGGUUUGGAGAGCAGAAACAAGUCAGGAGACAAAUAUCUGCCAAAGGAGGUGGGAAUCCCUUCUGCUCCUGAAGUUCAGGGGUUUCUAAGCUAGGGGAAAGGUUGAAGUGAUUCAAGAUACGGUAUGCAGCUGUGUGAAAAUGCAUAGUUUGUAUGUAUACAUUCAUUUACAAAGACCAAAGGAAGGUCCUUUGCUAUGUAGAUUAAUCACCAUCUGCUUUUAACAAAAAUGUGAGCUGACAAAGCUACAGGAUGUCAGUUAAACACACAACCUGGGAGUUAAUGGUAGCUGAAUGGCAUUUCCCAAAUAGAGAACUAACUUUUCUUUUUGAUUUUUUGAGAUAAUUUUUAAGUAGUUUUUCAUUUGAAGUCUGUUGUUUCUCUAAUCAUGUGUUUUAGGAUUUCAAGAGAUUCCUAUUCAGCUGUGGUCAUCUCAGCAAUGACAGACCCUGCUUUGAAGGCUGUUAAGAAGUAAAAAUCCCAAAAGACAAACAAGCAAACCAACAGAACCUGGGUUUAGCUAUGGUGUGUGAACUAGAUCAAAACAUGGUCCUUUUAAACUGCUGAAAUUCUAGUUCAGUAGUAAGUAGUGCUUUUUUGCUGUUUUGGUUUUGGUCCUUUUUUUGCAAUAGCUGAGCUAGUAGUAAGAAAAUUCUAUGAGUUUGCUCACUUUCUUUUUAUUUAGUUGACACUUUGGAACUUAGCUGCUUCCUGUGAGGAAUGUCUGUUGUCCUGAGCAUUCCUGAACAUACAACAGUAAUGUAACAGGCAGGAUGGGCUUAAAUUGAGAAAAUCUUGGUCCAAAGGAUCUAUUUUAAUGUUUUGACUUUUUCUGAAGAAAAAUUCCUUUGUCACUUGUGACACUAAAAUACAGUGGUCUGCCUCUAAAUGUAAUUUUAACAAAGAUCAGUGCUCUCUGCUAAUCAAUGUGUUCUAUAAAUAUUUAAUUCAGCAAUGGAUUGACUUUUCUCAUGAGACUUUAUCUUCAUGUUUGUUUCAUGUACUUGAUUUUUCUUAGCAUUUGGCUUAGAUUCUUCCUUGCAAUUUUUAUUCAACCGUAUCUAUGGAAAUGCAAAAAGCAUUUUUGAAGCUAGAAAAAGGUAAGAAUCUCAUAUAACCAUUCACAUGGAGGAGAGUAAAAUCAUCUAAGCAUAUUUUGCAAUCUAAAGUCAAGAAACAUUGCCUGUUGCGUAGUGAACUGGUCAUUCACUGGGAAAUGGAAAAGUAGAUUUUUUUUUUCCAUACAAACAAUGAAUACUAGAAGUGCAAGAGGAUAAGAUUUGCUCAUUCUAAAAUGCAUUGAUCAGAAACAAAUUAUUCAUUACCUGAACUACUUGAGUAACUUGAGAAAAAAACAAACCUUCUCAAUUUUUAUAAAAUUACUCUGUACAAAGCUGGUUUACUGCGUUGAUGAAACUCAAGAGCGCGUGCUUAGCACAUCACAAAUUCAGUAGUCAUUCUUUUAAAGUUUCAGGUGCAAGCAAAUACUUCUCAGUACCUUAAUUAUUUUUUAUCAACUUUUAGGCAUUAAUAUGCAUAUUGCUAAUUUUGUAAAUGUUUCUAAUUUAAGAAAAACAACUGUAAUGUUUGGGGUGUCCUGACUUGUACUGAGAAUGAUUCCCAAGAUAUCUGUAAUCCAUUGGAAGUGCUCUUGGUUCAGCAGGCAGAAUAGACUCAUAUGCUGACACAAAGAUUUUAACACUUUUUUUCAUAUGAAAUAACAGCAAAAUUCUCAGAGGAAUUUUUCAGGGCCCAAUUCUGGGUGGCUUUGAUCCAGCACUAAAUCAUUUUCAGUGGCAACAGACUGCAGAGGCUUUUUGGUGAGUUAUGGCCAAGGUCCUCUGAAUUCUUGACUUCUCCCAGCUGCUGGUGCUACAGGGGACUGUGAGAAUUUGACAAAGGUCUGUAUAGUGGCAUUUUGUUGUGUGUUUUUAAUGUUGUAAGAAUGAGAGAAGCACCUGCUUCUUACAAGAAAGUUUUCUGCUAUGUCUAAGUCACUGUUAGUGGAAGCCCCUUAUCUAAAUGUGCUGUGCCAGCCCAUAGGCUGCCCCAGAGCACAGAAUCAAAGCAAAUUGUGAAGGAAUAGCAUCUGCAAAUCUUCUUUUCUAAGGCUUCUUUCAAACACACAUGGAAAUACAGCAACCAACUGGGCCACAGAGCUGUUAUUUGUGCUGCCUGACAGAGCACGACCUUGGACGGGCCUGUCACUGCUCUUGCUCCUCAGCCGAGCGCAGGCUGAGUUUCCAGACACCCUAUGCUCACUGUAAAGGUUUUAAGCUUAAUUUGCCCCAUAACUGCAAGAGCUGAGCCAUGCUGUGCAGCCUGGACAGGUGACAUCAGCCCACAUCAGCACAGGUUCCACUGAUAAGCACAAGGCUUGCACACCACUGGCAGGGUGCUUGCCUCGCUCCAGGGACUCCCAGCGGUCCCUGGAAGGACUCAACAGCUGGAUCAGGCCCAUCUUUUGCAGGGAGAACUGCAGCUUGAUUAAAAAUGGCAAAAUGAUACAUUUGCAGUCCAAGGGGAAACUAUACUGAGGCUAUUGGAGCAGCGGGUAGCUUUUACUUUUACCUAUGGAUGCAGAAAUGAGCAGAAUGUUUGGAAGCCUCUGAAAAGGAGCUGGGGUAUCUGGGAGGUGGCCAGCUAAGAGCUUUUGCAAGGAUGGAUUUUACAUGACUCCCAAGCUGUGCAUGGUCUGCGCACACACACACUCAGCCUGGGAGAGGGGAGCCCAGGAAUGAUUCACCCUGGAGAGGAAAUGAGCAUCGCUGUCUCUCCCCUCUUCAUGUGCCUUGUUUUCCCCACUUUUCUUUGUGUGAUUUGGAAUAAAGAAUUUGGACAAAGUAAAAGUCAAAAAGGUCUUUAUUUUUCAGCAUGCUCCAUAAGAUUUAAAAGGAUUCUGUGCUGGGGCAGAGUAGCUUUUCUUUGUUUAAAAUGCUGAAACUGGCAUCUACAAAUUAAGACAAACUAUGUACAAUAGUGUGACUGCUGUAAGCUUAACACCAGAACCAGAGGGAAGAUGAGUUCAUUAAUUCACUUAGGAAUAAAAGGAUUGUCUUUAGGACACUAGUUCCCAAAAUCAGUGGGGAUGAAGCCGGGAAAAACCAAAUGGAAAUACUACUGCCAGCCUGGCAGUGGCCCUGCAAGUUGGGAGAGCAGCUG